This 1430-nucleotide ribosomal RNA is filed under the name uncultured organism. RNAcentral describes it as "SSU rRNA". It matches the Rfam family "Bacterial small subunit ribosomal RNA". The record is from RNAcentral.
UAGCUACAGGCUUAACACAUGCAAGUCCAUGGGCAGCAUGGUCUUAGCUUGCUAAGGCCGAUGGCGACCGGCGCACGGGUGAGUAACACGUAUCCAACCUGCCGUCUACUCUUGGACAGCCUUCUGAAAGGAAGAUUAAUACAAGAUGGCAUCAUGAGUCCACAUGUUCACAUGAUUAAAGGUAUUCCGGUAGACGAUGGGGAUGCGUUCCAUUAGAUAGUAGGCGGGGUAACGGCCCACCUAGUCUUCGAUGGAUAGGGGUUCUGAGAGGAAGGUCCCCCACAUUGGAACUGAGACACGGUCCAAACUCCUACGGGAGGCAGCAGUGAGGAAUAUUGGUCAAUGGGCGAGAGCCUGAACCAGCCAAGUAGCGUGAAGGAUGACUGCCCUAUGGGUUGUAAACUUCUUUUAUAAAGGAAUAAAGUCGGGUAUGCAUACCCGUUUGCAUGUACUUUAUGAAUAAGGAUCGGCUAACUCCGUGCCAGCAGCCGCGGUAAUACGGAGGAUCCGAGCGUUAUCCGGAUUUAUUGGGUUUAAAGGGAGCGUAGAUGGAUGUUUAAGUCAGUUGUGAAAGUUUACGGCUCAACCGUAAAAUUGCAGUUGAUACUGGAUAUCUUGAGUGCAGUUGAGGCAGGCGGAAUUCGUGGUGUAGCGGUGAAAUGCUUAGAUAUCACGAAGAACUCCGAUUGCGAAGGCAGCCUGCUAAGCUGCAACUGACAUUGAGGCUCGAAAGUGUGGGUAUCAAACAGGAUUAGAUACCCUGGUAGUCCACACGGUAAACGAUGAAUACUCGCUGUUUGCGAUAUACUGCAAGCGGCCAAGCGAAAGCGUUAAGUAUUCCACCUGGGGAGUACGCCGGCAACGGUGAAACUCAAAGGAAUUGACGGGGGCCCGCACAAGCGGAGGAACAUGUGGUUUAAUUCGAUGAUACGCGAGGAACCUUACCCGGGCUUAAAUUGCAGAUGAAUUACGGUGAAAGCCGUAAGCCGCAAGGCAUCUGUGAAGGUGCUGCAUGGUUGUCGUCAGCUCGUGCCGUGAGGUGUCGGCUUAAGUGCCGUAACGAGCGCAACCCUUGUUGUCAGUUACUAACAGGUUCUGCUGAGGACUCUGACAAGACUGCCAUCGUAAGAUGUGAGGAAGGUGGGGAUGACGUCAAAUCAGCACGGCCCUUACGUCCGGGGCUACACACGUGUUACAAUGGGGGGUACAGAGGGCCGCUACCACGCGAGUGGAUGCCAAUCCCAAAAACCUCUCUCAGUUCGGACUGGAGUCUGCAACCCGACUCCACGAAGCUGGAUUCGCUAGUAAUCGCGCAUCAGCCACGGCGCGGUGAAUACGUUCCCGGGCCUUGCACACACCGCCCGUCAAGCCAUGGGAGCCGGGGGUACCUGAAGUGCGUAACCGCGAGGAGCGCCCUAGGGUAAAACUGU